Molecule: ribosomal RNA, 637 nt
Filed under: uncultured bacterium
Lineage: Bacteria
Description: bacterial SSU rRNA
Rfam family: Bacterial small subunit ribosomal RNA
Source: RNAcentral
GGGUGAGUAACGCGUGGGUAACCUGCCUUAUACAGCUGGAUAACAGUCAGAAAUGGCUGCUAAUACCGCAUAAGCGCACAGAGCUGCAUGGCUCAGUGUGAAAAACUCCGGUGGUAUAAGAUGGACCCGCGUUGGAUUAGCUUGUUGGUGGGGUAACGGCCCACCAAGGCGACGAUCCAUAGCCGGCCUGAGAGGGUGAACGGCCACAUUGGGACUGAGACACGGCCCAGACUCCUACGGGAGGCAGCAGUGGGGAAUAUUGCACAAUGGGGGAAACCCUGAUGCAGCGACGCCGCGUGAAGGAAGAAGUAUCUCGGUAUGUAAACUUCUAUCAGCAGGGAAGAUAGUGACGGUACCUGACUAAGAAGCCCCGGCUAACUACGUGCCAGCAGCCGCGGUAAUACGUAGGGGGCAAGCGUUAUCCGGAUUUACUGGGUGUAAAGGGAGCGUAGACGGUGUGGCAAGUCUGAUGUGAAAGGCAUGGGCUCAACCUGUGGACUGCAUUGGAAACUGUCAUACUUGAGUGCCGGAGGGGUAAGCGGAAUUCCUAGUGUGGCGGUGAAAUGCGUAGAUAUUAGGAGGAACACCAGUGGCGAAGGCGGCUUACUGGACGGUAACUGACGUUGAGGCUCGAAAG